UGGAGAGGAUUGCAUUUGAAAGACAGACACAACACUCAAACCCUUAGGUCCUGAGUACAGCGGAGUGAAAGGCCUUUUAAAGGACCAUGGGCUGUUUGAGGGGCCAACAUCAUUAACUGGGGCACAUGUGCAGGAUGUGCAGGUUUGUUACACAGGUAAAUGUGUGCCAUGGUGGUUUACUGCACAGAUCAUCCCAUUACCCAGCAAACUUGGAAAUCAUGUCUUAGAGAUCAAGGAGCCAAGAGAUGAGACAAGCCUGGGUUCCUAGGUGAUAGGGUGUGGCUGUGUCCCCACCCAAAUCUCGUCUUGAAUUGUAGCUCCCAUAAUCCCCACAUGUUGUGGAGGGACCCUGUGGAAGAUCUUUAAUAAAUGAAAUAAAUGUGACUGUAUGUCCUACAUCCCAUUCCUGUUGUCUUCCAUGUCUCCUCAGAGAUUGUGCCUGCAGCCUGGCCUGUUGCCCACAGCGGUCUACCUGCCACACUGGGAAAGAUCGAGCAGAGACAGAGAAGAAAAGGAGGCUCCAUUUUUCAGGCUGCUCUCCCGCAGGCUCAUGUUUUGUGUUCAUGCCAGGCAGAGAACACAAAAUGUUCCAAUAAAUAAGUAUCAAAGGUUAGUGGUGAAAAUGAAGGAGGAGGAGGCAUUGCGUGAAAAACUAAACAUGCAAAAUAUUACACACAAAGAGAACCAAAAUGCAGGUUCACUGGAAAUGAUAGACAAUAUGUUAAAACAAGAGGAGAGAAGAGAGCUGAAAUAAUCAAAUGGAAACACACAAUUUAGGGCUAAGAUCUUGUUGUGUUCAGCCACAAAUGAUGGCCAGCAGUGAGGAAUCUGUGUGUUCUCCACACUCUUCGCUCCUGGGAAGUCAACUCACAUGGACCAUGAUAUCAAUAUCUGCUCCUUCCCCUAAUAUCUGUUUGACCUUGGGUCAGUUACUUAAACUUCCUAAGCCUUAGUUUCUUUGUCUGGAAAAUAGGGAUAGUUAUACCUACCACACAACCACUUUGUAAUGAAUAUGUUGGAAAUUAUAUGCAAAUUGGCUUCCGUUGGUGUUUGGAACAUAGUAGGUUUUUAACUGGAAUAUAAUAGCUACCAUUAUCAGUAUCAUCAUAUUAAUUUAUAUUUCCAUCUUCAGCCCUUAACCCAGGAUCUUCAGUAAAUGUUGAAUUCUCAAAUUUGUUAAAUUCACUUGUCUAUACUAAUAUUUUACUCUAGGUUUCUUAGAAUAUUCUAGAUAAUAUUAUUAUGUAGAAUAUGUUAUGUAAGCUUCAUCUUAUCUGUAAAUAUAGUUUUACUUUUUCCUUUCUAAUUUUUAUGUCGAUUACUUCUUUUUCUUGGCUUAUUGAAUUGGCUAGGAUUCCCGUACAGUGUUGAAUACGUGCAGCAAGACUGCACAUCUUGCCUUGUUCCUGGUCCCACAGAGAGAAUAUCCAGUACUUCACAAUAAGUAUGUGUUAAUUGUAGAUUUUAUUAGAUUGAGGAAGUUCCCUUUCCUUUCAAGUCAGUCUUUUUAUUUUAAACAUGUAUUGAAGUUUUGUCAAAUGUCUUCAUCUAUUGGAAUAAUUAUACAUAUCUCUUUUUUAUUCUGUUAAUAUUACAUUUCAAUCUUCUGUCUACCUAAAAUCCCUAGAAUAAUCUCCAUUUGGCUAUGAUGUGUUGUGCUUUUAUAUAUUACUGAAUUCUAUAUGCCAAUAUUAUUAAAAUUUUCUGUCUUUAUGAGAAA
Molecule: long non-coding RNA, 1720 nt
Organism: Homo sapiens (human)
Lineage: Eukaryota; Metazoa; Chordata; Mammalia; Primates; Hominidae
Gene: CCDC26
Product: CCDC26 long non-coding RNA
Source: Ensembl